This 648-nucleotide ribosomal RNA is filed under the name uncultured bacterium. Its description in RNAcentral is "bacterial SSU rRNA". It matches the Rfam family "Bacterial small subunit ribosomal RNA", at positions 61 to 692 of the family's 1533-position model. The record is from RNAcentral.
GUCGAGCGGAAUGAUGAGAGCUUGCUCUCUGAUUUUAGCGGCGGACGGGUGAGUAACACGUGGGCAACCUGCCCUACAGAUGGGGAUAACUCCGGGAAACCGGGGCUAAUACCGAAUAAUCAGUUUGUCCGCAUGGACAAACUCUGAAAGACGGUUUCGGCUGUCACUGUAGGAUGGGCCCGCGGCGCAUUAGCUAGUUGGUGGGGUAAUGGCCUACCAAGGCAACGAUGCGUAGCCGACCUGAGAGGGUGAUCGGCCACACUGGGACUGAGACACGGCCCAGACUCCUACGGGAGGCAGCAGUAGGGAAUCUUCCACAAUGGACGAAAGUCUGAUGGAGCAAUGCCGCGUGAGCGAAGAAGGUUUUCGGAUCGUAAAGCUCUGUUGUAAGGGAAGAACACGUACGGGAGUAACUGCCCGUGCCAUGACGGUACCUUAUUAGAAAGCCACGGCUAACUACGUGCCAGCAGCCGCGGUAAUACGUAGGUGGCAAGCGUUGUCCGGAAUUAUUGGGCGUAAAGCGCGCGCAGGCGGUUCUUUAAGUCUGAUGUGAAAGCCCACGGCUCAACCGUGGAGGGUCAUUGGAAACUGGAGAACUUGAGUACAGAAGAGGAAAGCGGAAUUCCACGUGUAGCGGUGAAAUGCGUA